Molecule: ribosomal RNA, 484 nt
Filed under: uncultured bacterium
Lineage: Bacteria
Description: partial 16S ribosomal RNA
Rfam family: Bacterial small subunit ribosomal RNA
Source: RNAcentral
AUUGAACGCUGGCGGCAUGCUUUACACAUGCAAGUCGAACGGCGGCGCGGGCUUCGGCCUGGCGGCGAGUGGCGAACGGGUGAGUAAUACAUCGGAACGUGCCCAGUAGUGGGGGAUAGCUCGGCGAAAGCCGGAUUAAUACCGCAUACGACCUGAGGGUGAAAGCGGGGGAUCUUCGGACCUCGCGCUAUUGGAGCGGCCGAUGGCAGAUUAGCUAGUUGGUGGGGUAAAGGCCUACCAAGGCGACGAUCUGCAGCUGGUCUGAGAGGACGACCAGCCACACUGGGACUGAGACACGGCCCAGACUCCUACGGGAGGCAGCAGUGGGGAAUUUUGGACAAUGGGCGAAAGCCUGAUCCAGCAAUGCCGCGUGUGUGAUGAAGGCCUUCGGGUUGUAAAGCACUUUUGGCGGGAACGAAAAGGACUGUGCCAAUACCACGGUUCGAUGACGGUACCCGCAGAAUAAGCACCGGCUAACUACGUG